RNAcentral lists this ribosomal RNA (468 nucleotides) under Zeugodacus tau. RNAcentral's name for it is "partial large subunit ribosomal RNA". The record is from RNAcentral. Lineage: Eukaryota; Metazoa; Arthropoda; Insecta; Diptera; Tephritidae.
CCUGUUUAACAAAAACAWGUCUUUUUGAGUUAUUUUUAAAGUCUGACCUGCCCMCUGAAAUUUUUAAAUGGCCGCAGUAUCCUAACUGUGCAAAGGUAGCAUAAUCAUUAGUYUUUUAAUUGAAGGCUGGUAUGAACGGUUGGACGAGGUAUAAGCUGUUUCAUAUAAAUUUAUAAUAGAAUUUUAUAUUUUAGUCAAAAAGCUAAAAUAUUAUUAAAAGACGAGAAGACCCUAUAAAUCUUUAUAUUUUUUUUUAUUUAAAUUUUUUGGAUUUAUUUUAUUUUUAUAAUAGAAAAUAUUUUGUUGGGGUGAUGUUAAAAUUUAAUGAACUUUUAAUUAUAAAAAAUCAUUAAUUUAUGAGUUAUUGAUCCAUUAGUAGUGAUUAUAAGAUUAAGUUACUUUAGGGAUAACAGCGUAAUUUUUUUGGAGAGUUCAUAUCGAUAAAAAAGUUUGCGACCUCGAUGUUGG